RNAcentral lists this ribosomal RNA (425 nucleotides) under uncultured bacterium. RNAcentral describes it as "bacterial SSU rRNA". It matches the Rfam family "Bacterial small subunit ribosomal RNA", at positions 354 to 796 of the family's 1533-position model. The record is from RNAcentral.
GUGGGGAAUAUUGGACAAUGGGCGCAAGCCUGAUCCAGCCAUGCCGCGUGAGUGAUGAAGGCCUUAGGGUUGUAAAGCUCUUUCACCGGUGAAGAUAAUGACGGUAACCGGAGAAGAAGCCCCGGCUAACUUCGUGCCAGCAGCCGCGGUAAUACGAAGGGGGCUAGCGUUGUUCGGAAUUACUGGGCGUAAAGCGCACGUAGGCGGACCAUUAAGUCAGGGGUGAAAUCCCGGAGCUCAACUCCGGAACUGCCUUUGAUACUGGUGGUCUAGAGACCGAGAGAGGUAAGUGGAACUCCUAGUGUAGAGGUGGAAUUCGUAGAUAUUAGGAAGAACACCAGUGGCGAAGGCGGCUUACUGGCUCGGAACUGACGCUGAGGUGCGAAAGCGUGGGGAGCAAACAGGAUUAGAAACCCCAGUAGUCC